AGCCAUGCCGCGUGUGUGAAGAAGGCCCUAGGGUUGUAAAGCACUUUAAGCAGGAAAGAAAAGCGCCGGGUUAAUAACCCGAGCGUGUUGACGGUACCUGCAGAAUAAGCACCGGCUAACUUCGUGCCAGCAGCCGCGGUAAUACGAAGGGUGCAAGCGUUAAUCGGAAUUACUGGGCGUAAAGCGAGUGUAGGCGGUUUCGUGUGUCGGAUGUGAAAGCCCUGGGCUCAACCUGGGAAUUGCAUUCGAAACUGCGGAACUAGAAUAUGGUAGAGGAAGACGGAAUUCCACGUGUAGCGGUGAAAUGCGUAGAUAUGUGGAGGAACACCAAUGGCGAAGGCAGUCUUCUGGGCCAAUAUUGACGCUGAGGCUCGAAAGCGUGGGUAGCAAACAGGAUUAGAUACCCUGGUAGUCCACGCCGUAAACGAUGAGAACUAGACGUUGGUUGACAUAGUCGAUCAGUGUCGCAGCUAACGCGUUAAGUUCUCCGCCUGGGGAGUACGGUCGCAAGACUA
This 515-nucleotide ribosomal RNA is filed under the name uncultured bacterium. Its description in RNAcentral is "bacterial SSU rRNA". It matches the Rfam family "Bacterial small subunit ribosomal RNA", at positions 390 to 896 of the family's 1533-position model. The record is from RNAcentral.